GACGAACGCUGGCGGCGUGCUUAACACAUGCAAGUCGAACGGAAAGGCCCUGCUUUUGUGGGGUGCUCGAGUGGCGAACGGGUGAGUAACACGUGAGUAACCUGCCCUUGACUUUGGGAUAACUUCAGGAAACUGGGGCUAAUACCGGAUAGGAGCUCCUGCUGCAUGGUGGUGGUUGGAAAGUUUCGGCGGUUGGGUAUGGACUCGCGGCUUAUCGGCUUGUUGGUGGGGUAGUGGCUUCCCAAGGCUUUGACGGGUAGCCGGCCUGGAAGUGUGACCGGGCCCAUGGGGCUUGGGAAGGGGGCAAGAGCGAAACGGGCGCAAGGGGGGAGAAACAGUGGGAACAGGGCCGCGGGCGGGAGGAGCAACGCCGGGUGGGGGAACGCGGCUUUCGGGGAAGAAAAAAUUUGCGAGUGAGAAGGCACGUGUGGGGGGGAAAUGGGUAAAAAAGCACGGGUAAAUACCUG
This 467-nucleotide ribosomal RNA is filed under the name uncultured bacterium. Its description in RNAcentral is "partial 16S ribosomal RNA". It matches the Rfam family "Bacterial small subunit ribosomal RNA", at positions 28 to 507 of the family's 1533-position model. The record is from RNAcentral.